GAUGAGCUCCCACACUCAGCUACUCUGGCUCCUUGUGCUCUGCAUUCAGGAUUCCAGUGGGCAGCUUGUGCUGACUCAGACUCCAGAAUCCCUGGUGGUGUCUCCAGGAGACAGAGUCACCAUCAACUGCAAAGCCCAUUCCAGUGUUACCAAUAACUUCAUGGCCUGGUACCAACAGAAAUCAGGACAAGUUCCUAAGCUCCUUAUCUACAGCGCUUCCACCCGUCCCUCUGGGAUCCCAGACCGGUUCAGUGGCAGUGGGACAAGCACGGACUUCACUUUUACAAUCAGCCGGGUUGAAGUGGAUGAUGCUGGAGAUUAUUACUGCCAGCAACAUAGCAGCUCCCUUCUCACACAGUGAUACAGACUAACACAAAAACCUCCCUGCUCUGUUUAGUUUCAGACUCUCACUCACAGUAUUUCAGCUGCUUCCUGUGCAGUUUCCUGGUGUUGAUGCUUCUACUGCCCUGCAGUGGGACGCCUGGGUGUGUCAAACUUGCGUCCCCUCCCUCCUCCCUCCAGAAUUUCUAGUCCUUUCAGGCGCGCUCUCCCACCAUGUGGUUCAACACUCUUUACUCAGCAAUUGCUCCCCUGCCACUAACAUAGAUUUGCUCUUAUGGGCUGCAUCCAACUUCCUACUGACAGCAGGUUACAAUCCAAUACCUUUCUACUGAGCUGAGACAACGGAUGGAGAACUGUCCUCCAGCUUUAUAAAGCACCCACAGUGACAGCUGCAAUAGACUAAUCCAAACAAGUCAGACUAAAAGCUGCUGCCCACACCUGGGCUACUUCAGCA
Mauremys mutica (yellowpond turtle) is the source of this 796-nucleotide non-coding RNA. The record is from the annotation of a RefSeq genome assembly. Lineage: Eukaryota; Metazoa; Chordata; Testudines; Geoemydidae.